GGGCCCGCGGCCUAUCAGCUUGUUGGUGGGGUAAUGGCCUACCAAGGCGACGACGGGUAGCCGGCCUGAGAGGGUGACCGGCCACACUGGGACUGAGAUACGGCCCAGACUCCUACGGGAGGCAGCAGUGGGGAAUAUUGCACAAUGGGCGCAAGCCUGAUGCAGCGACGCCGCGUGAGGGAUGACGGCCUUCGGGUUGUAAACCUCUUUCAAUAGGGACGAAGCGCAAGUGACGGUACCUAUAGAAGAAGGACCGGCCAACUACGUG
RNAcentral lists this ribosomal RNA (268 nucleotides) under uncultured bacterium. Its description in RNAcentral is "partial 16S ribosomal RNA". It matches the Rfam family "Bacterial small subunit ribosomal RNA", at positions 227 to 507 of the family's 1533-position model. The record is from RNAcentral.